Molecule: ribosomal RNA, 301 nt
Filed under: uncultured bacterium
Lineage: Bacteria
Description: partial 16S ribosomal RNA
Rfam family: Bacterial small subunit ribosomal RNA
Source: RNAcentral
CAGUAGCCGCGGGAAAACAGAGGGUGCAAGCGUUAAUCGGAAUUACUGGGCGUAAAGCGCGCGUAGGUGGUUUGUUAAGUUGGAUGUGAAAUCCCCGGGCUCAACCUGGGAACUGCAUCCAAAACUGGCAAGCUAGAGUAUGGUAGAGGGUGGUGGAAUUUCCUGUGUAGCGGUGAAAUGCGUAGAUAUAGGAAGGAACACCAGUGGCGAAGGCGACCACCUGGACUGAUACUGACACUGAGGUGCGAAAGCGUGGGGAGCAAACAGGAUUAGAUACCCCAGUAGUCCCUGUCUCUUAUAC